AUAACGACUCUYGGCAAAGGAUAUCUCGGCUCACGCAUCGAUGAAGAACGUAGCAAAAUGCGAUACUUGGUGUGAAUUGCAGAAUCCCGUGAACCAUCGAGUUUUUGAACGCAAGUUGCGCCCGAAGCCAUCUGGUUGAGGGCACGUCUGCCUGGGCGUCACGC
This 164-nucleotide ribosomal RNA is filed under the name Rudbeckia fulgida. Its description in RNAcentral is "5.8S ribosomal RNA". It matches the Rfam family "5.8S ribosomal RNA". From Rfam's summary of the family: 5.8S ribosomal RNA (5.8S rRNA) is a component of the large subunit of the eukaryotic ribosome. It is transcribed by RNA polymerase I as part of the 45S precursor that also contains 18S and 28S rRNA. Functionally, it is thought that 5.8S rRNA may be involved in ribosome translocation. The record is from RNAcentral. Lineage: Eukaryota; Viridiplantae; Streptophyta; Magnoliopsida; Asterales; Asteraceae.